GGGCCCGUAGCUCAUCUGGUAGAGCGCUGCAUUCGCAUUGCAGAGGUGGUCGGUUCAAGUCCGAUCGGGUCCA
Molecule: transfer RNA, 73 nt
Filed under: bacterium
Lineage: Bacteria
Description: tRNA-Ala
Rfam family: tRNA
About the family: Transfer RNA (tRNA) molecules are approximately 80 nucleotides in length.
Source: RNAcentral